AUUGAACGCUGGCGGCAUGCCUUACACAUGCAAGUCGAACGGCAGCACGGGAGCAAUUCUGGUGGCGAGUGGCGAACGGGUGAGUAAAGUAUCGGAACGUGCCCAGUCGUGGGGGAUAACGUAGCGAAAGUUACGCUAAUACCGCAUACGAUCUAUGGAUGAAAGCGGGGGAUCGCAAGACCUCGCGCGAUUGGAGCGGCCGAUAUCAGAUUAGGUAGUUGGGGGGGUAAAGGCUCACCAAGCCGACGAUCUGUAGCUGGUCUGAGAGGACGACCAGCCACACUGGGACUGAGACACGGCCCAGACUCCUACGGGAGGCAGCAGUGGGGAAUUUUGGACAAUGGGCGAAAGCCUGAUCCAGCCAUGCCGCGUGCAGGAUGAAGGCCUUCGGGUUGUAAACUGCUUUUGUACGGAACGAAAAGGUUUGGCCUAAUAAGCUGAGCUCAUGACGGUACCGUAAGAGUAAGCACCGGCUAACUACGUGCCAGCCGCCGCGGUAA
Molecule: ribosomal RNA, 500 nt
Filed under: uncultured bacterium
Lineage: Bacteria
Description: partial 16S ribosomal RNA
Rfam family: Bacterial small subunit ribosomal RNA
Source: RNAcentral